Molecule: ribosomal RNA, 209 nt
Filed under: Mycoplasmopsis synoviae
Lineage: Bacteria; Bacillati; Mycoplasmatota; Mycoplasmoidales; Metamycoplasmataceae
Description: Mycoplasma synoviae partial 16S ribosomal RNA
Rfam family: Bacterial small subunit ribosomal RNA
Source: RNAcentral
GAGAAGCAAAAUAGUGAUAUCAAGCAAAUCUCAAAAAAUCGUUCUCAGUUCGGAUUGUAGUCUGCAACUCGACUACAUGAAGUCGGAAUCGCUAGUAAUCGUAGAUCAUCUACUCUACGGUGAAUACGUUCUCGGGUCUUGUACACACCGCCCGUCACACCAUGGGAGCUGGUAAUGCCCGAAGUCGGUUUGUUAACUUCGGAGACAAC